GAUGAACGCUGGCGGCGUGCUUAACACAUGCAAGUCGAACGGAAAGGCUCCUGCUUGCAGGGGUACUCGAGUGGCGAACGGGUGAGUAACACGUGGGUGAUCUGCCCUGCACUUCGGGAUAAGCCUGGGAAACUGGGUCUAAUACCGGAUAGGACGAUGGUUUGGAUGCCAUUGUGGAAAGUUUUUCGGUGUGGGAUGGGCUCGCGGCCUAUCAGCUUGUUGGUGGGGUAAUGGCCUACCAAGGCGUCGACGGGUAGCCGGCCUGAGAGGGUGUACGGCCACAUUGGGACUGAGAUACGGCGCAGACUCCUACGGGGGGCAGCAGUGGGGAAUAUUGCACAAUGGGCGCGAGCCUGAUGCAGCGACGCCGCGUGGGGGAUGACGGCCUUCGGGUUGUAAACUCCUUUCGCUAGGGACGAAGCGCAAGUGACGGUACCUGGAGAAGAAGCACCGGCUAACUACGUG
This 465-nucleotide ribosomal RNA is filed under the name uncultured bacterium. RNAcentral describes it as "partial 16S ribosomal RNA". It matches the Rfam family "Bacterial small subunit ribosomal RNA", at positions 28 to 507 of the family's 1533-position model. The record is from RNAcentral.